This 131-nucleotide small RNA is filed under the name Arabidopsis thaliana (thale cress). RNAcentral's name for it is "ATSL281470". The record is from RNAcentral. Lineage: Eukaryota; Viridiplantae; Streptophyta; Magnoliopsida; Brassicales; Brassicaceae.
AUAUUUUAUAAAUAGAUACAAUUUGUAAACUUUUAUAUAUACUAACUUUAAAAAAUAAAUUGUUUCCGCGGUAUACCGCGGGUUAAAAUCUAGUUUUAAUAACAAUUCUUGAAUUUUGUAAUUCGAGAGAA